UGGGGAAUAUUGGACAAUGGGCGCAAGCCUGAUCCAGCCAUGCCGCGUGAGUGAUGAAGGCCCUAGGGUUGUAAAGCUCUUUCACCGGUGAAGAUAAUGACGGUAACCGGAGAAGAAGCCCCGGCUAACUUCGUGCCAGCAGCCGCGGUAAUACGAAGGGGGCUAGCGUUGUUCGGAUUCACUGGGCGUAAAGCGCACGUAGGCGGACUAUUAAGUCCGGGGUGACAUCCCGGGGCUCAAGCCCGGAACUGCCUUUGAUACAGGUAGUCUUGGGUUCGAGAGAGGUGAGUGGAAUUCCGAGUGUAGAGGUGAAAUUCGUAGAUAAUCGGAGGAACACCAGUGGCGAAGGCGGCUCACUGGCUAGAAACAGACGCUGAGGUGCGAAAGCGUGGGGAGCAAACAGG
This 404-nucleotide ribosomal RNA is filed under the name Actinomycetes bacterium. RNAcentral describes it as "Actinobacteria bacterium partial 16S ribosomal RNA". It matches the Rfam family "Bacterial small subunit ribosomal RNA", at positions 355 to 776 of the family's 1533-position model. Lineage: Bacteria; Bacillati; Actinomycetota; Actinomycetes. The record is from RNAcentral.